GAUAUAAUACCAAAUGAAGGUGCGCAAUAGCGCAUAACAGGGAAUCGGGUGAAACUCCCGAGCGGUCGCGCCACUGUAUCGAUUUUGCGUGAGACAAGCUUUUGAGGCAGCCACUUCACUGCGGUGGGGGAAGGCGUUUCGCGCGUGGAAUCGCAAGCCAGGAGACCUACCUUCAAAUGCCACCAGAA
Molecule: non-coding RNA, 188 nt
Filed under: Ferroacidibacillus organovorans
Lineage: Bacteria; Bacillati; Bacillota; Bacilli; Caryophanales; Alicyclobacillaceae
Source: RNAcentral